CAAUAGCGUAUAUUAAAGUUGUUGCAGUUAAAAAGCUCGUAGUUGGAUUUCUGGUGGGAGCGAUCGGUCUGGCGCUUAGCGCGAGUACUUGCAUCGUCUCCGGCCAUCCUUGGGGAGAGUCUGUCUGGCAUUAGGUUGUCGGGCAGAGGAUCCUCAUCGUUUACUGUGAAAAAAUUAGAGUGUUCAAAGCAGGCUUAUGCCGUUGAAUAUAUUAGCAUGGAAUAAUAGGAUAGGACUUUGGUACUAUUUUGUUGGUUUGCGCACCAAAGUAAUGAUUAAUAGGGACAGUUGGGGGUAUUCGUAUUCCGUUGUCAGAGGUGAAAUUCUUGGAUUUACGGAAGACGAACUACUGCGAAAGCAUUUACCAAGGAUGUUUUCAUUAA
Molecule: ribosomal RNA, 383 nt
Filed under: uncultured eukaryote
Lineage: Eukaryota
Description: partial 18S ribosomal RNA
Rfam family: Eukaryotic small subunit ribosomal RNA
Source: RNAcentral